GCUUUCCUACGGGGCGCAGCAGUGGGGAAUAUUGCGCAAUGGGCGAAAGCCUGACGCAGCGACGCCGCGUGAGGGAUGAAGGUCUUCGGAUCGUAAACCUCUGUCAGCAGGGAAGGACGGUCACUGUGCUAAUCAGCAGUGAAUUGACGGUACCUGCAAAGGAAGCACCGGCUAACUCCGUGCCGGCAGCCGCGGUAAUACGGAGGGUGCGAGCGUUAAUCGGAAUUACUGGGCGUAAAGCGCUCGUAGGCGGUAUGUCAAGUCAAGGGUGAAAUACCCGC
This 281-nucleotide ribosomal RNA is filed under the name uncultured bacterium. Its description in RNAcentral is "partial 16S ribosomal RNA". It matches the Rfam family "Bacterial small subunit ribosomal RNA", at positions 333 to 606 of the family's 1533-position model. The record is from RNAcentral.